AAGGGUAUAGCUCAGUGGUGAAACGUUGACUGCAGAUCAAAGGGUCCCCAGUUCAAAUCUGGGUGCUUGCU
Molecule: non-coding RNA, 71 nt
Organism: Danionella cerebrum
Lineage: Eukaryota; Metazoa; Chordata; Actinopteri; Cypriniformes; Danionidae
Source: the annotation of a GenBank genome assembly